Molecule: ribosomal RNA, 401 nt
Filed under: uncultured bacterium
Lineage: Bacteria
Description: bacterial SSU rRNA
Rfam family: Bacterial small subunit ribosomal RNA
Source: RNAcentral
CUGGGCUUGACAUGGGAACGACCGCUCGAGAGAUCGAGUUUUCUCUUCGGAGACGUUCCGCACAGGUGCUGCAUGGCUGUCGUCAGCUCGUGUUGUGAGAUGUUCGGUUAAGUCCGGCAACGAGCGCAACCCCUGUCUUUAGUUGCUAACGAGUUAUGUCGAGCACUCUAAAGAGACUGCCCGGGUUAACCGGGAGGAAGGUGGGGAUGACGUCAAGUCCUCAUGGCCCUUACGCCCAGGGCUACACACGUGCUACAAUGGUCGGUACAGUGGGAAGCAAUACCGCAAGGUGGAGCAAAUCCUUAAAGCCGUCCUCAGUUCGGAUUGGAGGCUGCAACUCGCCUCCAUGAAGCUGGAAUCGCUAGUAAUCGUAGAUCAGAAUGCUACGGUGAAUACGUUCC